This 655-nucleotide long non-coding RNA is filed under the name Capra hircus (goat). RNAcentral describes it as "lncRNA (ENSCHIG00000001151.1)". The record is from RNAcentral. Lineage: Eukaryota; Metazoa; Chordata; Mammalia; Artiodactyla; Bovidae.
AUGCAUUGGAGACGGAAACGGCAACCCACUCCAGUGUUCUUGCCUGGAGAAUCCCAGGGACAGGGGAGCCUGGUGGGCUGCCGUCUAUGGGGUCGCACAGAGUCGGACACGACUGAAGCGACUCAGCAGCAGCAGCAGCAGUGUCUACUCCCUCGUUACCACUGUGAGGUUCCCCAUGCGUGGGGCUCCUGGAGACUCCUCAGCAGAGCGUCCAUGCUCAGCAGAGACCAGACCUGCCCCUCGUCUCCAGCCCAGCGCCUGGCGUGUUUUCGCGGCACCUCAGCAGGACAACAAAAGACCGAGACUGCCAGCACCAAGGACCCUUACCUGGGUCAGUAGCCACAAUAUUUUACCCUGCCUGGAAGCAUCUGCUGAAGUUCCAUCACAAGAAGUAUUUCUCUGACUCUCGCGGCCUGCAGAUCACUGGUGCUUACAGAAGAGGCAAAGAUGAAUCUGCCAACAGGUAGCUUACGAUGUGAGCUAUGUACCAAUUUCUCUUACAUUUUUAUUAAUUCCCACUCUUUUCUAGUGGAGCCCAUACAAUGGUUGCCUCUGGGUCAACGGUUCUUAAGUGAGGACACUUUGCAAUGUUUGGGAACACUUUUGUUUGUCACAACUUGGAGGAGCUGGUAUUUCUGGCUUCUGGUGGUCACAG